UGUCCAUCAGCAUCAUCAUCAUCACCAUCCUUGUGUCCAUCAGCAUCAUCACCAUCAUCAUCAUCAUCAUCAUCCUUGUGUCCAUCAGCAUCAUCAUCAUCAUCAUCAUCACCACCAUCAUCAUCAUCAUCAUCCUUGUGUCCAUCAUCACCAUCACCAUCAUCAUCAUCAUCAUCAUCAUCAUCAUCCUUGUGUCCAUCAGCAUCAUCAUCAUCAUCAUCAUCAUCAUCAUCACCAUCAUCAUCAUCAUCAUCAUCCUUGUGUCCAUCAGCAUCAUCACCAUCAUCAUCAUCAUCAUCAUCCUUGUGUCCAUCAGCAUCAUCAUCAUCACCAUCCUUGUGUCCAUCAGCAUCAUCAUCAUCAUCAUCAUCAUCAUCAUCUUUCUGUCCAUCAUCAUCAUCAUCAUCAAUAUCAUCAUCCUUGUGUCCAUCAUCAUCAUCAUCAUCAUCAUCAUCAUCCUUGUGUCCAUCAGCAUCAUCAUUAUCAUCCUUGUGUCCAUCAGCAUCAUCACCAUCAUCAUCAUCAUCAUCAUUAUCAUCCUUGUGUCCAUCAGCAUCAUCAUCAUCAUCAUCAUCAUCGCCAUCCUUGUGUCCAUCAGCAUCAUCAAUAUCAUCAUCAUCAUCAGUAUCAUCAUCAUCAUCAAUAUCAUCAUCAUCUCUGUGUUCAUCAUCAUCAGCAUCAUCAUCAUCAUCAUCAUCCCUGUGACCAUCAUCAUCACCAGCAUCACCAUCCCUGUGCCCAUCAUCAUCAGCAUCAUCAUCAAUAUCAUCAUCCCCAUGAUCAUCAUCAUCCCUGUGUCCAUCAUCAUCAAUAUCAUCAUCACCAUCAUCAUAAAUAUCAUCAUCAUCUGUGUCCAUCAUCAUCACCAUCAUCAUCAUCCCUGUGUCCAUCAUCAUCAUCAAUAUCAUCCCCAUCCCUGUGUCCAUCCCCAUCCCUGUGUCCAUCCCCAUCCCCAUCCCUGUGUCCAUGUCCAUCAUCAUCACCACCCCCAUCCCUGUGUCCAUCCCCAUCCCUGUGUCCAUCACCAUCCCCAUCCCCACCCCUGUGUCCAUGUCCAUCCCCAUCCCCGUGUCCAUCACCGUCAC
This 1085-nucleotide long non-coding RNA is filed under the name Cyanistes caeruleus (blue tit). Its description in RNAcentral is "lncRNA (ENSCCEG00000001070.1)". The record is from RNAcentral. Lineage: Eukaryota; Metazoa; Chordata; Aves; Passeriformes; Paridae.